GUACAAUUUUAAAGUUACCUUAAAAUAUCACAGGGUAAUAAGCAGCACAGAAUGGACACAGAUUUGGCACCAGUUAGGUAUAUGAGAUUUAUUUCAUUUGGACUACCAGAAAAUAUUGAAUUACACUACUUGAUUUGAACUCUGAAAUGAUAUCAGACCAUCGAAAUACAUCAAUCAAGCAAACCCGUUUCCAUUGACAUGAUGAUAUAGGUGUAUGAAUUUAAAAGUUCAUCAAUAUAGAAGUGCCCCGAUUUGAUUACCUGUAUCCAAGUGGCACAUAUAUCGACUUUCGCCAACUUGAGUGUCACAUUUGUAUGUACAAUAUGUGUGACGAAAUGCGAGAAAGCCGCGCUGGCAUUCCCGUGCGGUAAUAAAAGACCUCCACUCGAAACGAUUAAGGCGAUACAAUGCAGCCGACGACUAAAAAUAGCAACAACUCAAAUUGAUGCAAAUUAAUCAUGAUUAGUCGGCCGAUGUGAAUGCCAGGUGGAAAGAAUGCGCCAUGGGAAUCCCUUUUGGACACCUGGCGCCACCUAUGGGGUAAAUGGAGGAAGCGCAAAGUGGAAACGGAUGGCUAACUUGAAAGGGGCGAGCGGAAACGGAAGUGACAAAGAAGUUGCGUGUACCAGCGACAAUUUGUCACAGGUUUUGCAUGCCAUGACAGCAUGUGCCAUGUUUUAUAGGUCAAGUUGAGAGCGACAAGUGCGAAAGGCAAACAAAGGCGAACAAUUACCAUAACAGAAUGGCCAAUCCAAUCCAAUAGCACAAUGGAAUGGAACUCAAACAGAGGCGCCGAAAGAGACCGAGAUAGGCAGAGAGAAAGAGAUUGCAAAACGCUGGCUAAUUACGCCAAUUACGACAUUUUACACAAAUUGUGGGAACUUUGCUCAGCUGGGCUGGGCAUCGCAGAAUUUGCACGAAUUUAUUGCAGGCAAUUAAGAUCUUAAUUCAAUGAACCCGCUCCCAGUCGCAUUUCCAUUUCAUUCUCAUGACAGGCAAAUGGCAUCCUGGGCAGGUACAUCGAAACUUCUGGCCAGCUUAUCAGCGUGAGACACAAAGGACAGCUCUUCAACCCGUUGACCCUUGACCCCCCAACACAUCCAACACCCCCAGCAGUCAGCAGUUGGGCAGGAAAAUGCUGCAUAGUUAAAAGUUUCCCAGGCGACAGCUUGCCUUCGACAGAAGGGGAACAGCUUGAGGUCCUCUGAUAAACAGACAU
Drosophila melanogaster (fruit fly) is the source of this 1219-nucleotide non-coding RNA. The record is from Ensembl. NCBI's taxonomy places the organism in Eukaryota, Metazoa, Arthropoda, Insecta, Diptera, Drosophilidae.